GGAGGGGUGCCCGAGCGGUUAAAGGGGGCAGACUGUAAAUCUGUUGGCGAAAGCCUACGAUGGUUCGAAUCCAUCCCCCUCCACCA
This 86-nucleotide transfer RNA is filed under the name Bacillota bacterium. Its description in RNAcentral is "tRNA-Tyr". It matches the Rfam family "tRNA". From Rfam's summary of the family: Transfer RNA (tRNA) molecules are approximately 80 nucleotides in length. Their secondary structure includes four short double-helical elements and three loops (D, anti-codon, and T loops). Lineage: Bacteria; Bacillati; Bacillota. The record is from RNAcentral.